UACGUAGGGACCAAGCGUUGUUCGGAUUUACUGGGCGUAAAGGGCGCGUAGGCGGCGCGGUAAGUCACUUGUGAAAUCUCUGAGCUUAACUCAGAACGGCCAAGUGAUACUGCAGUGCUAGAGUGUGGAAGGGGCAAUCGGAAUUCUUGGUGUAGCGGUGAAAUGCGUAGAUAUCAAGAGGAACACCUGAGGUGAAGACGGGUUGCUGGGCCAACACUGACGCUGGAUGCGCGGAAGCCAGGGGAGCAAACGGG
RNAcentral lists this ribosomal RNA (254 nucleotides) under uncultured bacterium. RNAcentral describes it as "partial 16S ribosomal RNA". It matches the Rfam family "Bacterial small subunit ribosomal RNA", at positions 524 to 776 of the family's 1533-position model. The record is from RNAcentral.